Molecule: long non-coding RNA, 637 nt
Filed under: Coturnix japonica (Japanese quail)
Lineage: Eukaryota; Metazoa; Chordata; Aves; Galliformes; Phasianidae
Description: lncRNA (ENSCJPG00005005241.1)
Source: RNAcentral
AUGCUGUUGCAAAUUGCAGCUGAAUGUGCUUUGAGGGCUGGGUCCUCUGUGUGCAUGAAUUGUGAAGUGUGCCUGCAGUCCAGCCACGUCCUGAGCCCCCACACCAAGUGCAGAUGGAUUGGUUCUUUGGCCAUUACCUCCAAGGUUAGUAACUGUCUGCAGGUUUCUGAUUCCUACGCUUAUUUCUCUUUUUGUCUGAUCCUUUCCAUGACUGAGAUACACGUCUGGGCUUUCACAGAACAGCACAAAUGUUAUUUCAUUCAGCCUACCCUGGACUUGUAACGGCGUUUCCCACUUACGCUAUGACUUGUUAGGCCUCCCCUUACGCUUUACCUGCCUCACUGUUAUCACACAUCAAAGAUAGGGGCUGAGUACUGACUAAAUACAAGGCAUGCUCCAGCUUAUUUCUCUUUAAAGUGCCAGAGGCCAAGUUCUCCCCUCAGACUGGAAGCAUGGCUCCUCUUUGAUCUGACAGGAGCUGUGUGCACAGUACCUGGGGGCACGGAUCAGCUUACGUGUGGUUUCCCUCCUCUCCCUCCCAAUUAUUACAGGAAGCAGCAGCUUUUACAGUGUAAAUGAGACAUUUGAAAGCAGCUGUUGUCAGAAGGUUCUUUCUAAUUCCUUAAUGCAGUCUUGC